Etheostoma cragini (Arkansas darter) is the source of this 148-nucleotide long non-coding RNA. RefSeq lists it as uncharacterized. The record is from RefSeq and is a predicted model, not a curated record. Lineage: Eukaryota; Metazoa; Chordata; Actinopteri; Perciformes; Percidae. The transcript has 3 exons.
AAUAAGAAGGUGGGGGGACUGAAGACGGCGGCAAACAGUUUACAAGCGAGGUGGAAGGAUAAAGGCACAUAUACAACUUCCACUCACUUCAGUGUGGCAAAUCCUUUGAAUUACAAGACUGGGUGACUCAAAGAGCUUGUUUUCACUU